This 596-nucleotide ribosomal RNA is filed under the name Verrucomicrobiota bacterium. RNAcentral describes it as "bacterial SSU rRNA". It matches the Rfam family "Bacterial small subunit ribosomal RNA", at positions 1 to 574 of the family's 1533-position model. Lineage: Bacteria; Pseudomonadati; Verrucomicrobiota. The record is from RNAcentral.
UUUAACGGAGAGUUUGAUUCUGGCUCAGAACGAACGCUGGCGGCGUGGAUAAGACAUGCAAGUCGAGCGAGAUUUCCUUUGGUAGCAAUACCGAAGGAAGUCUAGCGGCGAACGGGUGCUUAACACGUGGGCAACCUGCCGAGAAGUGGGGGAUAGCUCGCCGAAAGGCGAAUUAAUACCGCAUGUGAUUAGAGUGGACAUCCAUUCAAAAUUAAAGUCGGGGCAACCUGACGCUUCUUGUGGGGCCCGCGGCCUAUCAGCUAGUUGGUGAGGUAACGGCUCACCAAGGCGAUGACGGGUAGCUGGUCUGAGAGGACGACCAGCCACACUGGGACUGAGACACGGCCCAGACACCUACGGGUGGCAGCAGUCGAGAAUUUUUCUCAAUGGGGGAAACCCUGAAGGAGCGACGCCGCGUGGAGGAUGAAGGUCUUCGGAUUGUAAACUUCUGUCAUUGGGGAACAAGUCGCUUACGUUAACUGCGUGAGCGUUGAUAGUACCCGAAGAGGAAGAGACGGCUAACUCUGUGCCAGCAGCCGCGGUAAUACAGAGGUCUCAAGCGUUGUUCGGAUUCAUUGGGCGUAAAGGGUGCGUAG